Molecule: ribosomal RNA, 738 nt
Filed under: Triticum aestivum (bread wheat)
Lineage: Eukaryota; Viridiplantae; Streptophyta; Magnoliopsida; Poales; Poaceae
Description: partial small subunit ribosomal RNA
Source: RNAcentral
AUGGUGAAGGAGAAUACAGCAGCUCUGGAGCGGGCAAAGAAGGCGAUGGCGAGGUCAAAGGGGAAGGCGACGAGCCGAGGCGGAUCUUCCUCGCGGACUGGCCUGUCGAAGGGUUGGAUCCAGGGCGACUGGAUCCACUCGAGGAUCUCCCAAGAAGACCUCGAUGACCUGGCCGAGGGAGGGUUGAUCCCCUAUGACUCGGCGCGGCUUCCGGGGAAGGAAUCCGAGCCGCAACCCCGGGAGGGUGAGCGUGUUCUUCUUGCCACCCACGUCGACCGUGGGUUUUCCUUGCCUCCUCAUCCUUUCUUCCGAGGGUUUCUGAACUUCUUUGGGGCUCAACUCCACCAUUUUACCCCCAACUCAAUUGUUUAUCUUGCCGCGUUCAUUUCCUUGUGUGAGAACUUCUUGGGUUGUCGACCUCACUGGGGUCUUUUCAAGCAUAUUUUCACUUGUCGCUCCCAGACAGUGAAAAAGGCUAAUCCGAGUGACGAGAGGACCCAAGUGAUCCAGAUGUGUGGGGGUCUUGGCAUCCAGACGAGGGGAAAAAGCUCCUUUCCGGCCAUGAUUCUUCCCGAUUCAGUUCGCGGAUGGCAGUCGACCUGGUUCUACUGCAAAGACCAGUCGACGCCAGGGCAAUCGACUGGCCUCCCUCCCUUUACCAUGGACCGAGUGGAAAAACCCUCCCCUUUGAAGGUGCUCCUGGAGGAGAAGGCGCACGUGAAGGUGUUGGUCAACUGA